This 482-nucleotide ribosomal RNA is filed under the name uncultured bacterium. RNAcentral describes it as "partial 16S ribosomal RNA". It matches the Rfam family "Bacterial small subunit ribosomal RNA", at positions 30 to 507 of the family's 1533-position model. The record is from RNAcentral.
AUUGAACGCUGGCGGCAUGCUUUACACAUGCAAGUCGAACGGUAACAGGCCGCAAGGUGCUGACGAGUGGCGAACGGGUGAGUAAUGCAUCGGAACGUGCCUAGUCGUGGGGGAUAACUACUCGAAAGAGUAGCUAAUACCGCAUACGAUCUAUGGAUGAAAGCGGGGGACCGUAAGGCCUCGCGCGAUUGGAGCGGCCGAUGUCAGAUUAGGUAGUUGGUGGGGUAAAGGCUCACCAAGCCAACGAUCUGUAGCUGGUCUGAGAGGACAACCAGCCACACUGGGACUGAGACACGGCCCAGACUCCUACGGGAGGCAGCAGUGGGGAAUUUUGGACAAUGGGCGCAAGCCUGAUCCAGCAAUGCCGCGUGCAGGAAGAAGGCCUUCGGGUUGUAAACUGCUUUUGUACGGAACGAAACGGCUCUGGUUAAUACCCGGGGCUAAUGACGGUACCGUAAGAAUAAGCACCGGCUAACUACGUG